Molecule: unclassified non-coding RNA, 694 nt
Filed under: Hevea brasiliensis (rubber tree)
Lineage: Eukaryota; Viridiplantae; Streptophyta; Magnoliopsida; Malpighiales; Euphorbiaceae
Source: RNAcentral
GCCCAAACAGGUACGGUGGCUUUCUCAUUAAUCCACCCACAUACCUCCUCCAGCAGUGCGCAGUCUUGCCCAACUGCUGCACCCAUCUUCCUCUCCGGCAUGCCAUGAGGACAUGAGAAAUUGAUUUCAAGUGCAUCCACUCCAGUUGCCUCGACUCGCUCAAUAAGCUCCUCCCAUGCAGCUUUAUUGUAUUCCUCCAUAACUGAAGCAAUAAGAAUCCUCUUCGGAUACUCUUCCUUCAACUGCCUAAACUCAUUUAACAUAGUCUCAAGAGGUCGAUCACUAAUGAGUUCUAUAUUUUGCCAUCCAAUUAUCGGCCCUUUUGCCGUGCCGUUCGACCCCGCACGAAGCCGAGCAUAUCGAGGUGUUACAUUCACAACUUUCGACGCAUCCAAUGAUACCGUUUUGGCGAUCACGGCUCCCCACCCCUCGUCGAAGGCUCGCUUCAUUACUGUGUAGUUGGUGCCCGGGGGGCCGGAUCCGAUCACGAAGGGGUUCGGCAUCUCCAGCCCGUUCACCCUCACCGUCAGAUCCGGCUCCGCCGUGCCACCGCCCGCCGACGCCCAGACCUUGAGCGGCGCUGCACGCGGCCGGCAAUCCAGCCGGCGGGGUCGAGGAAGAUCCAGGAAGGAGCUAGAGCUGGAGCAGUAGCUGAGAGAGGACGCCAUCGCUGCUGCUUAAGCGCGAGGAUGAG